AUUUACAUAGUAUAAUAAUUAUUCUUAACUUCCAAUUAAGAGAUCUAAUACCUAUUAGUGUAAAUA
RNAcentral lists this transfer RNA (66 nucleotides) under Staphylinidae sp. BMNH 1274192. Its description in RNAcentral is "tRNA-Gly". The record is from RNAcentral. Lineage: Eukaryota; Metazoa; Arthropoda; Insecta; Coleoptera; Staphylinidae.